Tursiops truncatus (common bottlenose dolphin) is the source of this 122-nucleotide non-coding RNA. The record is from Rfam. Lineage: Eukaryota; Metazoa; Chordata; Mammalia; Artiodactyla; Delphinidae.
CCAGCAGCCCCCUUUUUUUCCAGACAGAGGGUUGUGAACCCGCCUGGGGAUGAGGCCUGGUGUUGUGGAAACUGAACUUAGCUUCGCGGGGCUGACAGUUCUGGCCCAGGGCGGUAUGUAAU